UAAAAUCUUUCCUUUUUAUACGACCGCAAAUUUUGAAAAAAUUUUCGUCGUAUAUUGCUAUCACGUUGGCGUCGUCGUCGUCGUCGUCGUCCGGCGUCCGAAUACUUUUAGUUUUCGCACUCUAACUUUAGUAAAAGUGAAUGGAAAUCUAUGAAAUUUUAACACAAGGUUUAUGACCACAAAAGGAAGGUUGGUAAUGAUUUUGGGAGUUUUGGUCCCAACAUUUUAGGAAUUAGGGGCCAAAAAGGGCCCAAAUAAGCAUUUUCUUGGUUUUCGCACUAUAACUUUAGUUUAAGUUAAUAGAAAUCUAUGAAAUUUUGACACAAGGUUUAUGACCAC
This 339-nucleotide long non-coding RNA is filed under the name Mytilus galloprovincialis (Mediterranean mussel). The record is from RNAcentral. Lineage: Eukaryota; Metazoa; Mollusca; Bivalvia; Mytilida; Mytilidae.